Long non-coding RNA from Ailuropoda melanoleuca (giant panda), 1846 nucleotides. RefSeq lists it as uncharacterized. The transcript is spliced from 3 exons. The record is from RefSeq and is a predicted model, not a curated record. Lineage: Eukaryota; Metazoa; Chordata; Mammalia; Carnivora; Ursidae.
UCCAAUGACACUCUUUUGCUUCCACACCCCAAAGAUCACUCAAAUUCCAGAUUAAACUCCAGUUAAACAAUAACAGUGGUGAGCCAGCCCGAUGUUCAGGCCCAAAUUUAUGUUUCUCCUUUUUUCUCCUAACCCAACACACAACCGCAGCCCUGCUUAGUCUUCAGAUGGCCCGUCUUCGAUGCAUGUUUAUUGAGCGCCCUGAGUGUUGCGUGUGCUGGGAAUGUGGUAAGAGGCAGAGCCGGCCCACCCUUCAUGGAGCUGAUGCUGUCUGUGGGGCAGCUGACGGGCCAGCAGAUGGAACAUGCCGAUAAUGUGAAGGAUGAAGUUGUAAAUGGGGAGAAGGUCCAAGGGCAAGAAUUUUCAAGGAACCAAAAGACACUGGAGCCGAGAAGGGAACAUGGCCCUGAGAGGAGCUGUAGAGGGAGGAGGGGGCAAACAGGUGAGCCUGGGCACUGGGGGGUUGAGGCAGGGCUGGAGACGGCAGGGCCAGAGGAGCAGAGGUGGCUGUUGCCAGGACCCCGGAUGACGGGGCGGAGAAGGAGAUGGAUUUGGAGUUGGCAACUCCACUGUUUGCUCCGAGACCUGGAUGGGUGGUGAGGAAAUGGGGCAAUGGGGGCCGGCGGUUCUAUCAACAGGUGUGGCUGUGAAGAUGUGGGGCUGGUGGCCAGGGGCUGGUUUUGGUCGUGGUGGUCUUGUUUUUAAGGAUGGAAAAGGAUGGAGUUUCCUCGAACGAAGGCCAUAUAGUCUUGUGCUCCGCGGAAACACUGGAAUAUUCUCCUUGCGGUUGAACGACAGUGGCACCUUAUUGGCAGAGGCAGCCAGGACCAGGCUCCACCUGGAAGAAGUUCCUGGGGUCAGGCUGGAGAAAGCAGACACAGACACACUCUGAGCACCUGCACAGUGCAGAGUGGGCUUAGUGACCCCAGCUGUCCAUCACACCACCUUCAACUCAGAAGCGCAUCGAGGAGGCCCACAGAGAACUGGGAACUGAAAUCUGGACCCACGAUCCAUCCAGAAAUUCUGAACAGGUCCCCCAGCCGGGGCGCUCCAGAGAUGUUGACGCAGAGGAGGAAGCCACAGAGCACAUCCCUGUUGGGGCAGCAUGGAGACAGUGGGCCGUAAGUCUGACCUCCAGUCCAAAUGCUACUACUGCUACUGAGCUUGAAUCUGCCCUCUCCCCACCACCUGGUUUUUCACAUAUUCUCCACGGGGACUCAAAGGCUUAUCCUAGAACCUGUUGCCCCAACUCUGAAAAAAAAAUCCUCCUGGCUCCCAGAGCUGGGGAGGCCAACCAGGAACCUUGGCAACUCACUGUUUAUUGCACUGGACCCAGCCUGACCCCUUGCGCCCACAGUUCCCACGCUCUGUCCCCUCCACGUUCAGCUUCUCAUAGCAGAAGCGAUCAGCAGCCGCUGUAAGGAGAUGAUGCCAGGCGUCACCCACUCACCCCAGAACCUGCCCCAAGACCUCAGGCCUGCACCUCCAACACUCUGGUCUGACCCCCUGUCCAGCUGGGUCGCUGAGAUCCUGGAGACCACACACUUGGUAGAGGGCCUAUUUAGCCAGAACUUACCCCUCCCCAGCCUCUUGAUUCUGGGUCCCCCAGAGUCCCCCCUCUCCCAUUCCUAGCCAAAGACUCACCAUGGCCCCAAAGGGCUUGGCACUGCCGGUCCCGGGUUUUGCAGCGACCUCCAUAGCAGCGGCCCUAUGGAACAAACAGGAGACAAGGGACUAAGACACUGAGUGGUUGGAAUGGAUAUAAGACAAAAGACUGUAUUGAGCCAGAGGCCCCAAGGGGGAGGGCCCCCACCCAUCAUACCUGUUCGUGAUCGCAGUAGUAACC